AGUGAUUAGAAGGUUGGAACUUUCAGUCCUGCCUACCAACCCCGGGAAAGGGGUGAUGGGGUGGUGGUGAAGGAAGAAAACACAAGGGACAAAGUUAACAGGAAAAGAGGGAGACAGGAAGAUGUGAGUCAGGAGCUGCUAGUGGUCCUGGUUCCUGCCUCCUGAGAAAGCCAGGCUGAAGGAAUGAAGCCAACAAGGAGAACGAAGCAGCAAAUCCUGACAGCUUGAGGCCCUGGGCCCCUGGAGCGGCUUCUGUCCCUGCUUCCCAAGCUUCAUGUCGUGGGGAUACUUGCCAUUCUCCAGCAAACCCUUUCUUCUGCAAAAACUGACUGAGUUUGAAUUUUGCUGCUUGCAUCCAAAAAAAUCUGGACGAGUGCAUGCAAUGCUUGGAAACGGGGAGCUGCAAAACUAGGGUGCUUGGUAAGAUGUGCUACCCACUGCCUGCAGGGUUAAACUGGGUGUGGGGUCGGGGGGCAAGACAGAGCAGGGAGAGCAGGCCUUCUCUCUGGCUGUCCUCUCCUCAGGUGCCUGAGAAGAGCUACAGAUGUGACGUGGGGACACGCUGGCAUCUUGAGGCGUCUUGGACAAUGGGUUAGGGUGCACUGAAGACUCAAGAAAUAAAAAUAAAGGAGCAUGGCAGUUCAGUGCUGGGCCUUCGCCUCUGGCCCUGCCAUUUUGGUUUUCUCCGGCAGCAGCCUCUCUCAUCUAGUAUCCCAGUGGACACAGCACUUCCUUUGUGCCCGGCACUGCACAAGUUCCUCCUGAGCCCAGAGGGACCAGUCUUCUAUUUUGCCUCAUUUUACAGAUGAGGAAGCUGAGACAUGGAGAGAUGAAGUAAGUUGUUCCUGGUGGGGUCACGUUGAGAUCUCAGUAGCUCACGCUUAGUCACCCCAUUUAGCAAGUCUGACCCU
Non-coding RNA from Manis javanica (Malayan pangolin), 911 nucleotides. The record is from RefSeq and is a predicted model, not a curated record. Lineage: Eukaryota; Metazoa; Chordata; Mammalia; Pholidota; Manidae.